UGGGGAAUAUUGCACAAUGGGCGCAAGCCUGAUGCAGCGACGCCGCGUGAGCGAAGAAGUAUUUCGGUAUGUAAACUUCUAUCAGCAGGGAAGAAAAUGACGGUACCUGACUAAGAAGCCCCGGCUAACUACGUGCCAGCAGCCGCGGUAAGACGUAGGUGGCAAGCGUUACUCGGAAUUACUAGGCGUAAAGCGCGCGUAGGCGGAAUGUUAAGUUUGUUGUGUAAUCUCUGGGCUCAACCCAGAAACUGCAACGAAAACUGGCGUUCUUGAGUGAGGCAGAGGAAAUCGGAAUUCCAAGUGUAGCAGUGAAAUGCGUAGAUAUUAGGAGGAACACCGGUGGCGAAGGCGGCUUACUGGACUGUAACUGACGUUGAGGCUCGAAAGCGUGGGGAGCAAACA
This 402-nucleotide ribosomal RNA is filed under the name uncultured bacterium. RNAcentral's name for it is "bacterial SSU rRNA". It matches the Rfam family "Bacterial small subunit ribosomal RNA", at positions 355 to 774 of the family's 1533-position model. The record is from RNAcentral.